RNAcentral lists this ribosomal RNA (301 nucleotides) under uncultured bacterium. Its description in RNAcentral is "partial 16S ribosomal RNA". It matches the Rfam family "Bacterial small subunit ribosomal RNA", at positions 509 to 807 of the family's 1533-position model. The record is from RNAcentral.
CAGCAGCCACGGGAAUACGUAGGGUGCAAGCGUUAAUCGGAAUUACUGGGCGUAAAGCGUGCGCAGGCGGUUUGUUAAGACAGAUGUGAAAUCCCCGGGCUUAACCUGGGAACUGCAUUUGUGACUGGCAAGCUAGAGUAUGGCAGAGGGGGGUGGAAUUCCGCGUGUAGCAGUGAAAUGCGUAGAUAUGCGGAGGAACACCGAUGGCGAAGGCAGCCCCCUGGGCCAAUACUGACGCUCAUGCACGAAAGCGUGGGGAGCAAACAGGAUUAGAUACCCCUGUAGUCCCUGUCUCUUAUAC